AGGCCGGGGCCCCAAGUUCGUCCAGCGGAAAAACGCCACAAAAACGGGUGGGCUAUUGCCUUGGGGGGUGAUGCUGGCCAACUUCGUCCGGCGGACUCGGAAUGCCGCGAGACUUUAUGAGGGGUCUCCGUAUGCCAAAAAUAGGCCUGGGGCAAAGCCGCGCCCAAAAAAUAAGCCACGGGCAAAGCCGCGCCCAAAAAUAACCGCCCGACGGCCGGGGCGCCAAGUUCGUCCCGCUGAAAAAGGCCACAAAAACGGGUGGGCUAUAGCCUUGGGGGGUGAUGCUGGCCAACUUCGUCCGCGGGACUCGGAAUUCCGUGAGACUUUGUGAGGGACCUCCGUGUGCCAAAAAUAGGCCGCAGGCAAAGCCGCACCCAAAAAAAAUCGCCCGAAGGCCGGGGCGCCAUGUUCGUGCAGCGGAAAAAGGCCACAAAAACGGGUGGGCUAUAGCCUUGGGGGGUGGGGCUGGCCAACUUCGUCCGCCGGACUCGGAAUGCCGCGAGACUUUGCGAGGCACCUCCGUAUGCCAAAAAUAGGCAGCGGGCAAAACCGCGCCCAAAAAUAACCGCCCGAAGGCCGGGGCGCCAAGUUCGUCCAGCGGAAAAAGACCUCAAAAACAGGUGGGCUAUAGCCUUGGGGGGUGAUGCUGGCCAACUUCGUCCGCCCGGACUCGGAAUGCCGCGAGACUUUGCGAGGCGCCUCCGUGUGCCAAAAAUAGGCAGCGGGCAGCCAAAAAUAACAACCCGAAGGCUGGGGCGCCAAGUUCGUCCAGCGGAAAAAGGCCACAAAAACGGGUGGGCUAUAGCCUUGGGGGGUGGGGCUGGCCGACUUCAUCCGCCGGACUCGGAAUGCCGCGAGACUUUGCGAGGGGCCUCCGUAUGCCAAAAAUAGGUCGUCGACAAAGCCGCGCCCAAAAAUAACCACCCGAAGGCCGGGGCGCCAAGUUCGUCCAGCGGAAAAAGGCCACAAAAACGGGUGGGCUAUAGCCUUGGGGGGUGGGGCUGGCCAACUUCGUCCGCCGGAUUCGGAAUGCCGCGAGACUUUGCGAGGGGCCUCCGUGUGCCAAAAAUAGGCCGCGGGCAAAGCCGCGCCCAAAAAUAACCGGCCAAAGGCCGGGGCGCCAAGUUUGUCCAGCAGAAAAAGGCCACAAAAACGGGCGGGCUAUAGCCUUGGGGGGUGGGGCUGGCCAACUUCGUCCAUCGGACUCGGAAUGACGCGAGACUUUACGAGGGGCCGCCGUGUGCCAAAAAUAGACCGCGGGCAAAGCCAUGCCCAAAAAUAACCGCCCGAAGGCCGGGGAGCCAAGUUCGUCCAGCGGAAAAAGGCCACAAAAACGGGGGGGCUAUAGCCUUCGGGGGUGGGGCUGGCUAACUUUGUCCGCCGGACUGGGAAUGCCAAAAAUAGGCCACGGGGAAGCCGCGCCCAAAAAUAACCGCCCGAAGGCCGGGUCGCCAAGUUCGUCCAGCGGAAAAAGGCCACAAAAACGGGCGGGCUAUAGCCUUGGGGGAUGGGGCUGGCCCACUUCGUCCGCCGGACUCGGAAUGCCGCGAGACUUUGCGAGGGGCCUCCGUGUGCCAAAAAUAGGCCGCGGGCAAAGCCGCGCCCAAAAAUAACCGCCCGAAGGCCGGGGCGAGAAGUUCGUCCAGCGGAAAAAGGCCACAAAAACGGGGGGGCUAUAGCCUUGGGGGGUGGGGCUGGCCAACUUCGUCCGCCGGAUACGGAAUGCCAAACAUAGGCCAUGGGCGAAGCCGUACCCAAAAAUAACCGACCGAAGGCCGGGGCGCCAAGUUCAUCCAGCGGAAAAAGGCCACAAAAACGGGUGGGCUAUAGCCUUGGGGGGUGGGGCUGGCCAACUUCGUCCGCCGGAUUCGGAAUGCCGCGAGACUUUGCGAGGGGCCUCCGUCUGCCAAAAAUAGGCCGUGGCCGAAGCCGCGCCCAAAAAUAACCGCCCGAAGGCCGGGGCGCCAAGUUCGUCCUGCGGAAGAAGGCCACAAAAACGGGUGGGCUAUAGCCUUGGGGGGUGGGGCUGGCCAAUUUCGUCCGCCGGACUCGGAAUGCCGCGAGACUUUGCGAGGGGCCUCCGCGUGCCAAAAAUAGGCCGCGGGCAAAGCCGCGUCCAAAUAUAACCCCCCGAAGGCCGGGGCGCCAAGUUCGUCCAGUGGAAAAAGGCCACAAAAACGGGUGGGCUAUAGCCUUGGGGGGUGGGGCUGGCCGACUUCGUCCGCCGGACUCGGAAUGCCGCGAGACUUUGCGAGGGGCCUCCGUGUCCCAAAAAAAGGCCGCGGGCAAAGCCAUACCCAAAAAUAAUAGCCCGAAGGCCGGGGCGCCAAGUUCGUCCAGCGGAAAAAGGCCACAAAAACGGGCGGGCUAUAGCCUUGGGGGGUGGGGCUGGCCAACUUCGUCCGCCGGACUCGGAAUGCCGCGAGACAUUCCGAGGAGCCUCCGUGUGCCAAAAAUAGGCUGCGGGCAAAGCCGUGCCCAAAAAUAACCGCCCGAAGGCCGGGGCGCCAAGUUCGUCCAGCGGAAAAAGGCCACAAAAACGGGUGGGCUAUAGCCUCGGGGGGUGGGGCUGGCCAACUUCGUCCGCCGGACUCAUAAUUCCGCGAGACAUUGCAGGGGCCUCCGUGUGCCAAACAUAGGCCGCGGGCAAAGCCGCGCCAAAAAUAACCGCCCGAAGGCCGGGGCGCGAAGUUCGUCCAGCGGAAAAAGGCCACAAAAACGGGGGGGCUAUAGCCUUGGGGGGUGGGGCUGGCCAACUUCGUCCGCCGGACUCGGAAUGCCAAAAAUAGGCCAUGGGCGAAGCCGCGCCCAAAAAUAACCGCACGAAGGCCGGGGCGCCAAGUUCGUCCAGCGGAAAAAGGCCACAAAAACGGGCGGGCUAUAGCCUUGGGGGGUGGGGCUGGCCAAAUUCGUCCGCCGGACUCGGAAUGCCGCGAGACUUUGCGAGGGGCCUCCGUGUGCCAAAAAUAGGCUACGGGCAAAGCCGCGACCAAAAAUAACCGCCCGAAGGCCGGGGCGCCAAGUUCGUCCAACGGAAAAAGGCCACAAAAA
This 3051-nucleotide long non-coding RNA is filed under the name Citrus x clementina. RNAcentral's name for it is "Citrus clementina (C. clementina) long non-coding RNA (CCLE_LNC000006)". The record is from RNAcentral. Lineage: Eukaryota; Viridiplantae; Streptophyta; Magnoliopsida; Sapindales; Rutaceae.